UGGUGAAUUGCAGAGGCUAUUUAGAGUCCCC
This 31-nucleotide non-coding RNA is filed under the name Macaca fascicularis (crab-eating macaque). The record is from RNAcentral. Lineage: Eukaryota; Metazoa; Chordata; Mammalia; Primates; Cercopithecidae. RNAcentral also lists the same sequence under 1 other name.